AUACGGAGGGUGCAAGCGUUACUCGGAAUCACUGGGCGUAAAGCGCGCGCAGGCGGCUAUUUAAGUUGGAUGUGAAAGCCUACGGCUCAACCGUAGAACUGCAUCCAAAACUAUUUAGCUAGAGUGUGGGAGAGGAAGAUGGAAUUAGUUGUGUAGGGGUAAAAUCCGUAGAGAUAUCUACGAAUACCAAAAGCGAAGGCAAUCUUCUGGAACACUACUGACGCUGAGGCGCGAAAGCGUGGGGAGCAAACGGGAUUAGAAACCCCAGUAGUCC
RNAcentral lists this ribosomal RNA (274 nucleotides) under uncultured bacterium. RNAcentral describes it as "partial 16S ribosomal RNA". It matches the Rfam family "Bacterial small subunit ribosomal RNA", at positions 523 to 796 of the family's 1533-position model. The record is from RNAcentral.